GACGAACGCUGGCGGUGUGCUUCACACAUGCAAGUCGAACGAGGUAGCAAUACCUAGUGGCGGACGGGUGAGUAACGCGUGGGAAUCUGCCUUUAGAUGGGGGAUAACGGGUCGAAAGACUCGCUAAUGCCGCAUAUGACGAAAGUUGAAAGGAGUAAUCCGUCUAAAGAUGAGCCCGCGUCCGAUUAGCUAGUUGGUAGAGUAAAAGCCUACCAAGGCGACGAUCGGUAGCUGGUCUGAGAGGAUGAUCAGCCACAAUGGGACUGAGACACGGCCCAUAC
Molecule: ribosomal RNA, 281 nt
Filed under: uncultured bacterium
Lineage: Bacteria
Description: partial 16S ribosomal RNA
Rfam family: Bacterial small subunit ribosomal RNA
Source: RNAcentral